RNAcentral lists this microRNA precursor (104 nucleotides) under Marmota monax (woodchuck). The record is from RNAcentral. Lineage: Eukaryota; Metazoa; Chordata; Mammalia; Rodentia; Sciuridae.
AUGGGAAUCGUCUGUGGAUCUUGUUAAAAUACAGAUCUUUGUUCAGUAGUUCUAUAUAGGGUUCUAGAUUCUGCAUCUUUAGUAAACUCCCAAGUGAUGUAGAA